RNAcentral lists this ribosomal RNA (253 nucleotides) under uncultured bacterium. RNAcentral's name for it is "partial 16S ribosomal RNA". It matches the Rfam family "Bacterial small subunit ribosomal RNA", at positions 524 to 776 of the family's 1533-position model. The record is from RNAcentral.
UACGGAGGAUGCAAGCGUUAUCCGGAAUGAUUGGGCGUAAAGCGUCCGCAGGUGGCUAUGUAAGUCUGCUGUUAAAGAGUGAGGCUCAACCUCAUAAAAGCAGUGGAAACUACACGGCUAGAGUGCGUUCGGGGCAGAGGGAAUUCCUGGUGUAGCGGUGAAAUGCGUAGAUAUCAGGAAGAACACCGGUGGCGAAAGCGCUCUGCUAGGCCGCAACUGACACUGAGGGACGAAAGCUAGGGGAGCGAAUGGG